AGCAGCCGGGGUAAUUCCAGCUCCAAUAGCGUAUAUUAAAGUUGUUGCAGUUAAAAAGCUCGUAGUUGAAUUUCGGGAUCAGUACGCUGGUCGUGCCUCCGGUACGUACUGGCAUUGUUGGUUUCUCCCUUCUGACGAACCAUGAUGUCAUUAAUUUGGUGUCAUGGGGAAUCAGGACUGUUACUUUGAAAAAAUUAGAGUGUUUAAAGCAGGCUCACGCUUGAAUACAUUAGCAUGGAAUAAUGAAAUAGGACGUUUGAUUCUAUUUUGUUGGUUUCUAGGAUCGACGUAAUGAUUAAUAGGGAUAGUUGGGGGCAUUAGUAUUCAAUUGUCAGAGGUGAAAUUCUUGGAUUUAUUGAAGACUAACUACUGCGAAAGCAUUUGCCAAGGAUGUUUUCAUUAAUCAAGAACGAAAGUUAGGGGAUCGAAGACGAUCAGAUACCGUCGUAG
RNAcentral lists this ribosomal RNA (450 nucleotides) under uncultured Glomeromycotina. Its description in RNAcentral is "SSU rRNA". It matches the Rfam family "Eukaryotic small subunit ribosomal RNA", at positions 569 to 1023 of the family's 1831-position model. The record is from RNAcentral. Lineage: Eukaryota; Fungi; Glomeromycota.